AUGGAGCGACGAUUCGGAGAUGUAGCAGAGCGCUUGGCGGCAGCUGCUCUCGGCACGCGACGGCGUGCCCCACAUCCAGAGGCUCGCCUCGGCGCCCACAUCGUCCUCCUACUACUUCUCGGUGCCGCUGACCCGGCGGGUGCCAAGGGAGGUGACGUACAUCCAGAGCGUCUGCGCGCAGAUGAACCGGCUCUGGUGCUCCAUCCCCGCCAGGCGCAGCGCGAAAUCUGGAAGAGGGAUGCUGUCCAGCUGAUGCUUGGUAUCGACUCGAAGUUCAUCAUCCAUUGUAUUGAGGUUAUCUACCUGGACUCUGUAGUGACUUUAUAUUUUCUAUAA
This 336-nucleotide ribosomal RNA is filed under the name Triticum aestivum (bread wheat). RNAcentral's name for it is "partial small subunit ribosomal RNA". The record is from RNAcentral. Lineage: Eukaryota; Viridiplantae; Streptophyta; Magnoliopsida; Poales; Poaceae.